This is a long non-coding RNA of Megachile rotundata (alfalfa leafcutting bee), 919 nucleotides long. Lineage: Eukaryota; Metazoa; Arthropoda; Insecta; Hymenoptera; Megachilidae. The record is from RefSeq and is a predicted model, not a curated record.
UCUCGAUGCGCGCAACGACGCAUUCGGCGCAUGCGCACAACGCUACUUCAUGUAAUGCGUGCAACAAUGUUUGUGUUAUGCGCACAACGUCAUUUUGGUUUAUGCGCACGUUGUUUUGGAUUCAGCAAACGUUUUAUCUCGUGCGCAUAAUGACGUCUUGAGAUACGCGCGCAAUUGUUGAGUUCUGCGCAUGCGCCAACGAAUUUACGAGGGAAAACUUGUUACUCGAGACGUUAAUAUAUUUCUCUCGUUUUCAGCUUAUGGUAGGAGCUUGACAUUUCGUGAGAGAUAUGAAAAAUGUGUUCUACAUUGAAUAUUGAUGGAGAAAAUUAAUGUGACACCUUGCAAAUUGAAUUAAUCUUGAGAAUAAUCCCAUUUUUCUGCAUUCCUACAUCUUCACCCUUACAGUGUCUCUCAUAGAUGUCAACACACACCAUGCAUCCGAAUGACCCUGUUUUCAUCCGGCACGUACUCAGCCAAUUCCUGCUCUAUAUUUAAAUAAUUUCUCAAGCAUUUUAUAUGGAAAUUAACUGAACAAAAAUUUGCAGGGACGUGUUUACUCAAGAAUGAAAUUUGGGUUCAAUAUUUCGAGCAAAAUUCCUGGUGGUCGACGAUUCAUGACUGAUACAAAAUUUGAGGGUAAACGCGAUGUGUAAUUACCUACUUCGUUCAAAUUUAUUAUCGAUAAACACACCGCAUGAACGUGACAGGAAAAAUGGCAUGGCCGAGCAUCGUGAAUGAAAUCGAAGCUGCAAUUUUUGCUUUCUCAUUUAUCACGAUUGGACACACCUGUUCGUUUCGUGACAAAUCUUCCAUUCAACAUUCCUGCUAUCAACAUCUCCCGGAAAGUAUUGUUAUUAACGUCGACGACGCUGUCAAUUUAUUUUGUGUUAUUGGGAUUUUGCAAAUUAUUUAAAUC